This 453-nucleotide ribosomal RNA is filed under the name uncultured bacterium. RNAcentral describes it as "SSU rRNA". It matches the Rfam family "Bacterial small subunit ribosomal RNA", at positions 26 to 518 of the family's 1533-position model. The record is from RNAcentral.
AGAGCGAACGCUGGCGGCAUGCUUAACACAUGCAAGUCGCACGGUCGGGUUUCGGCCCGGCAGUGGCGGACGGGUGAGUAACGCGUAGGGAUCUAUCCUUGGAUGGGGGGACAACCGUGGGAAACUACGGCUAAUACCGCAUGAAGCCCGAGGGCUAAAGCUCGCGAGAGCGUCUGGGGAGGAGCCUGCGUCCGAUUAGCUAGUUGGUGGGGUAAAGGCCUACCAAGGCGGUGAUCGGUAGCUGGUCUGAGAGGAUGAUCAGCCACACUGGGACUGAGAACGGCCCAGACUCCUACGGGAGGCAGCAGUCGGGAAUUUUGCCCAAUGGACGAAAGUCUGAGGCAGCAACUCCGCGUGAGGGAUGAAGGCUCUCGGGUCGUAAACCUCUUUUAUCAGGGAAGAUAAUGACGGUACUGAUGAAUAAGUCACGGCUAACUACGUGCCAGCAGCCGC